GGUUAAGUUAGAAAGGGCGCACGGUGGAUGCCUUGACACUAGGAGUCGAUGAAGGACGGGACUAACGCCGAUAUGCUUCGGGGAGCUGUAAGUAAGCUUUGAUCCGAAGAUUUCCGAAUGGGGAAACCCACCAUACGUAAUGGUAUGGUAUCCUUAUCUGAAUACAUAGGGUAAGGAAGACAGACCCAGGGAACUGAAACAUCUAAGUACCUGGAGGAAGAGAAAGCAAAUGCGAUUUCCUGAGUAGCGGCGAGCGAAAUGGAACAUAGCCCAAACCAAGAGGCUUGCCUCUUGGGGUUGUAGGACAUUCUAUACGGAGUUACAAAGGAACGAGGUAGACGAAGCGACCUGGAAAGGUCCGUCGUAGAGGGUAACAACCCCGUAGUCGAAACUUCGUUCUCUCUUGAAUGUAUCCUGAGUACGGCGGAACACGUGAAAUUCCGUCGGAAUCUGGGAGGACCAUCUCCCAAGGCUAAAUACUCCCUAGUGAUCGAUAGUGAACCAGUACCGUGAGGGAAAGGUGAAAAGCACCCCGGAAGGGGAGUGAAAGAGAUCCUGAAACCGUGUGCCUACAAAUAGUCAGAGCCCGUUAACGGGUGAUGGCGUGCCUUUUGUAGAAUGAACCGGCGAGUUACGAUCCCGUGCGAGGUUAAGCUGAAGAGGCGGAGCCGCAGCGAAAGCGAGUCUGAAUAGGGCGUUUAGUACGUGGUCGUAGACCCGAAACCAGGUGAUCUACCCAUGUCCAGGGUGAAGUUCAGGUAACACUGAAUGGAGGCCCGAACCCACGCACGUUGAAAAGUGCGGGGAUGAGGUGUGGGUAGCGGAGAAAUUCCAAUCGAACCUGGAGAUAGCUGGUUCUCCCCGAAAUAGCUUUAGGGCUAGCCUUAAGUGUAAGAGUCUUGGAGGUAGAGCACUGAUUGGACUAGGGGUCCUCAUCGGAUUACCGAAUUCAGUCAAACUCCGAAUGCCAAUGACUUAUCCUUAGGAGUCAGACUGCGAGUGAUAAGAUCCGUAGUCAAAAGGGAAACAGCCCAGACCGCCAGCUAAGGUCCCAAAGUGUGUAUUAAGUGGAAAAGGAUGUGGAGUUGCUUAGACAACUAGGAUGUUGGCUUAGAAGCAGCCACCAUUUAAAGAGUGCGUAAUAGCUCACUAGUCGAGUGACUCUGCGCCGAAAAUGUACCGGGGCUAAAUACACCACCGAAGCUGCGGAUUGAUACCAAUGGUAUCAGUGGUAGGGGAGCGUUCUAAGGACAGUGAAGUCAGACCGUAAGGACUGGUGGAGUGCUUAGAAGUGAGAAUGCCGGUAUGAGUAGCGAAAGACGGGUGAGAAUCCCGUCCACCGAAUGCCUAAGGUUUCCUGAGGAAGGCUCGUCCGCUCAGGGUUAGUCAGGACCUAAGCCGAGGCCGACAGGCGUAGGCGAUGGACAACAGGUUGAUAUUCCUGUACCACCUCUUUAUCGUUUGAGCAAUGGAGGGACGCAGAAGGAUAGAAGAAGCGUGCGAUUGGUUGUGCACGUCCAAGCAGUUAGGCUGAUAAGUAGGCAAAUCCGCUUAUCGUGAAGGCUGAGCUGUGAUGGGGAAGCUCCUUAUGGAGCGAAGUCUUUGAUUCCCCGCUGCCAAGAAAAGCUUCUAGCGAGAUAAAAGGUGCCUGUACCGCAAACCGACACAGGUAGGCGAGGAGAGAAUCCUAAGGUGUGCGAGAGAACUCUGGUUAAGGAACUCGGCAAAAUGACCCCGUAACUUCGGGAGAAGGGGUGCUUUCUUAACGGAAAGCCGCAGUGAAUAGGCCCAAGCGACUGUUUAGCAAAAACACAGCUCUCUGCGAAGCCGUAAGGCGAAGUAUAGGGGGUGACACCUGCCCGGUGCUGGAAGGUUAAGGAGAGGGGUUAGCGUAAGCGAAGCUCUGAACUGAAGCCCCAGUAAACGGCGGCCGUAACUAUAACGGUCCUAAGGUAGCGAAAUUCCUUGUCGGGUAAGUUCCGACCCGCACGAAAGGUGUAACGAUUUGGGCACUGUCUCAACCAGAGACUCGGUGAAAUUAUAGUACCUGUGAAGAUGCAGGUUACCCGCGACAGGACGGAAAGACCCCGUGGAGCUUUACUGUAGCCUGAUAUUGAAUUUUGGUACAGUUUGUACAGGAUAGGCGGGAGCCAUUGAAACCGGAGCGCUAGCUUCGGUGGAGGCGCUGGUGGGAUACCGCCCUGACUGUAUUGAAAUUCUAACCUACGGGUCUUAUCGACCCGGGAGACAGUGUCAGGUGGGCAGUUUGACUGGGGCGGUCGCCUCCUAAAGUGUAACGGAGGCGCCCAAAGGUUCCCUCAGAAUGGUUGGAAAUCAUUCGUAGAGUGCAAAGGCAUAAGGGAGCUUGACUGCGAGACCUACAAGUCGAGCAGGGACGAAAGUCGGGCUUAGUGAUCCGGUGGUUCCGCAUGGAAGGGCCAUCGCUCAACGGAUAAAAGCUACCCCGGGGAUAACAGGCUUAUCUCCCCCAAGAGUCCACAUCGACGGGGAGGUUUGGCACCUCGAUGUCGGCUCAUCGCAUCCUGGGGCUGUAGUCGGUCCCAAGGGUUGGGCUGUUCGCCCAUUAAAGCGGUACGCGAGCUGGGUUCAGAACGUCGUGAGACAGUUCGGUCCCUAUCCGUCGUGGGCGUAGGAAAUUUGAGAGGAGCUGUCCUUAGUACGAGAGGACCGGGAUGGACGCACCGCUGGUGUACCAGUUGUUCUGCCAAGGGCAUAGCUGGGUAGCUAUGUGCGGAAGGGAUAAGUGCUGAAAGCAUCUAAGCAUGAAGCCCCCCUCAAGAUGAGAUUUCCCAUAGCGUAAGCUAGUAAGAUCCCUGAAAGAUGAUCAGGUUGAUAGGUUCGAGGUGGAAGCAUGGUGACAUGUGGAGCUGACGAAUACUAAUAGAUCGAGGACUUAACCAU
Molecule: ribosomal RNA, 2922 nt
Filed under: Bacillus thuringiensis
Lineage: Bacteria; Bacillati; Bacillota; Bacilli; Caryophanales; Bacillaceae
Description: 23S ribosomal RNA
Rfam family: Bacterial large subunit ribosomal RNA
Source: RNAcentral